CUCUCGGGUCAGCCUCACACAGAGACGGAAGUCUUUAAUGUCAGUUUCUGUUGAGGAGAAGAAACAGAUGAGAUAUUUCCUCUUACCAUGCUGGCCCUGCUAGAAGACUCUCCACUUGGAGAGACUCAAGAAGCUGCCCAAGGGGACACAGUUCAAGGACGUGGAGGUCCAAGCCACCAUGCUACCUGUCACCUACCCAGCAGCAGUAACAGCAUAACCUAGCAGAGUCCACGGAGCCCAGACAGCCUCCUAGAGGGACACAGCCUGGCUGAGGACCUUCAUUUCAAUCAGGGAUUUGAAUUUCUCAUCUGCAAAAUGGAGAUAAAGACUGCAUGCCCUGCCUCUGCCACAGCAUGGCUGUGAGUGCCCUAUGCUGAGCAGCUGGAGGCCCCCCACCCCGAAGGCCCUGCUGCGAUGGGGAGACCGCCUGCCCACCUGGUAAGCCUCCUGCUGUGGGGGGACCCGCCCAUGGUCGAUCACCUGGGACGGCAGGAAGUGGAACUGGAUGUCCGGAUGGGGGACCCCAGGCUGGCUCCGGAUGAACCCCCCCGUUUCCAGAUGGGCCGUGGCUCCAUACCCUGAGGAUCAGAAGACAACGAUGAGGCAGAAGAGCAGUCCUGGGACGGCAGGUCCUCCCUCCUGAAUCCUCCUGGUUAUUCUCCAGUGGCAGUACCAUGUUCCUUAUUGAGACCUCCUGUUGUGAGACAACUGAGGCAAGUGGUCAUCAUGUGCCUGGCCAAGGCAGGUGGUUUCGGUCUCAGGCCCUAGAAGGGGUCCUCCUUCCUGCAACAAUUGACUGGUAGGAUCUCUUCUUUGCUACGACUGACAUCUGGACCCUCAGGGAUCAGCUUGCCUGCUGAUGGACUGGACCCAGCAGCCAGCAUUGGGACCCUUUAAAUGUCCCUGGUCUCCUCCUGAUGUGGACGACUGGCCAGAGCUUCCUGACCAGGUAAGGAACGAGAGACUUCACUGGCCUGUUUUCCCUUCCCUCUCCCUUUCCUCCUAUCCUAUUUUUCUGGUCCUGGAUGCAGGAGUCUAGUGGAAGAGCCUCAGUUAUCUGAGGGCUGGAGCCUGAUCACCUCCUGUGGGCAGGGACCUUGAGUUAUCUGGUAUCUGGUGGGGCUGAGUUCCCGUCCUCCCUUUCUGUAAGCCCAGGGGGCAAGUCCUGCAGGAGAUGUCUGAGGCCACCCCUUAGUUCCUGUUGGUCAGAACUCAAAUUGGAAGUUCUGCAUCUCUGUAGGAGGUUUUCUGAGAACCUUCAAUCUUGUAUUUAAGGCAGUGUCUGAUUAGGACAGCCGUGCCUAUAUGUGUUUUAUAUUUUACGUUCUGUGUUGUGAUCUGUGAUGGCCAUUCUGCCUUCUGAAAUAGGAAGUUCUGGUUCUGUUCCAUUGUAGGGCCCCCUUGGGAGAAUUUGUCUUGACUGAAAAGGUUUUAGCUAUAAGCCCGUGAUUAAGAGAAGGAUAUUUUAUUGUAACACUUUGUGGCCAGAAUAUUCUUUAGAUUCCAGAGAAAACCUAUUUAGGUGAAACUCUUGGAAAUUCCAAAACUGGUUCUUUUUGCAUAUACAGUUAGAAAAGGCAAGCGUGAUACAAUAUCUUUUAGAAUUCUGACCCUGAAAUAACAAUUCCUUCUAGGAGAACUUGGUUUUCUCACCCUGUGCCUUAACAGAUCCUGAGGGCUUUGGUCCUGAGAUAGAUGGGGGUGGUGGGGAACCUUUUAAACUAUACUUACUCCAACUAUUAUUCAUAAAUUAGUGAGUUUUAGAAUACCCAAUUCAUGAUUAAGUUUAGAAAAUGAACCUGUGAGAUCUCUGGUUGUGUAUAUAUAUAUAUAUCUCCUUACGUUUGGAUGGUAUUAUCAAAAUUAAUUCAUCAAUGAGCUCUACUUGUCUUAAGAAAAUUAAGCACUUAUAUAAAUUUUCAAAACUACAGAAAGGAAUUGGCAAGAAUUAAUUUCAGGUUCAUGUGAACUGGGGAAUAGUAUUAGAUUAAUAUCUGAUUUUAAACUUUGUUAAUUUAAAUAGAUAUGACUUUAGAGUCAUCAAGUUAUAUGACUUGUAUUAAACCAAGGUAUGGAGAAGGAAAUGGCAACCCACUCUAGUGUUCUUGCCUGGAGAAUCCCAGGGACAGAGGAGCCUGGUGGGCUGCCGUCUGGGGUCGCACAGAGUCAAACACUACUGAAGCAACUUGGCAGCAGCAACAGCAAACCAACGUAUAAAUAAAGGUAUUAUAAGAUCUUAUUAUAUCUAUUACAAAGUUGUCAGCAAGGAAAGUAACAUGGCAUGAUGAAAUUUUAUAAGUGAGUUAAAUGCAAGAUGAGAGCUUUUGGAUGAAUGUCUUAGGAAUAAUUAUAUUGUAGGAAUGUCUACUUAAGGAUAAUCUCUCUAGAUAUUUGAAAAUUUGCUUGAAAUUUAGAGUUGUUCUAAAUUAAGUGAUGGACAUUUAUUGAAUAGUUAAGUCAUCCCCAAAUAAGACACUGAAACAUCCAUUAUUAACCUUAAUAAACAGAGAAGGUAUUUGGGGUGAUUAAUGAAUAUGUUUGGUGUCAUCCUGACAUGUUCUCUGUAAGAAAGCAAAUGUUUUUAGGAAUUAUCACUAGCAUUUAUGUUCACUGAUCUACAGAAUCCUAAUGUAAAAGAUAAUUCAUAAUUGCUUGCCUCUUAGUUUUCACUAGAAAUUAAGGUUUUUAAAGAGUUCAGCUCUCUAAAUGUGUAAUUAAAGCUAAUAGAAAUAAUAAAAGUGGCACUUCAGUAUACAGUAGGAAAAGAGGAUGUGUAUUGUCAGUGAAGAAGGUAUGAGGAAUGGAAUUGCAUUUUAUUAAAAGAAAAGAGACUCUGACAGCUGGUUGUUUCUCAGUGAAGAAGAAAAUGGAGGACAAACUAAUGUGGAUACAGAAAGUAAUAGAGGGUUUGUGGAUCAUCAGGAUUGGCUAGGUUUAAAGUAAAGUUAAUUUUGUUGUUAAAAGUAGGUUGGUACAAGACUGGUUUUCUCUCUUAAAAGGGCAAAGUUUCCUUGGAAUGCUGCUUUUGAGAACAGAUUGUGUGAGUUUUUGUGCCUUUGCAUGCUAAGUUGCUUCGGUCAUGUCCAACUCUCUGCGACU
Molecule: long non-coding RNA, 3099 nt
Organism: Dama dama (fallow deer)
Lineage: Eukaryota; Metazoa; Chordata; Mammalia; Artiodactyla; Cervidae
Exons: 3
Source: RefSeq, a predicted model, not a curated record